CCGGCUGUCGCUGACUUUCUGUGGUCUCUGCUGUGUGGACGCCACUCUGGCCCGUGAUACCUCAAUAACCUGACCUUUACGUCUGCACCGUGCAUGCAUCACAGGGACGAGGAGGAAAGUAAGCAGGCUGUGGCAUAUCUCUGACAGCAGUUGUUGUUGAUAUGAGAUGCAAGUUGUCCUGUUGUAAAGCCUUAAUGGACCAAUCAGCAUGCAUCAGCAGAAGCCUACCUGAGCUGAGGAAAGCGAGGAGGAUCAUCAAGGACUCCAGUCACCCCAGCCAUAAACUGUUCAGACUGCUUCCAUCAGGAAGGAGGUUCUGCAGCAUCCGGUCCCGUACCAGCAGACUGAGAGACAGCUUCUUCCAUCAGGCCAUCAGACUGCUGAACACGUCAUAGACACCUCAGCUUCACUACUGGAACAUUAUGCACUCCAUACUGUAUAUAAAUGCCACUUGUUUUGCACAUAUUCAACUCUGUAUAUUUUAUAUAUUUUAUUAUUAUUAUUUUUUUUAUUUUUUAUUUUAUUUUAUUAUUAUUAUUUUUUUACUAUUUAAUUUGUAAAAAUGUGUAUACACACACACACACACACACACACACACACACACACACACACACACACACACACACACACACGUAGGAAAAUAUUUAGUAUACACAUCCAGAAAUGCAUACACUAUUAUAUAUUGUACAUAUAUUUAUUAGUUUCAGGUUGGCCAUUCUUGUAUUUUGCUCGUUUGUGUUGUUGUGUUUGCACAUCUCUGUUGCUUGUGGGGCUCGCACACAAGAAUUUCACUCGCAUGUGCUGUGCCAGUGUGCCUGCACAUGUGAUGUGACAAUAAAAGUGAUUUGAUUUGAUUUGAGCUUUGCUGGCGACCGCGUCCAUCCCUUUGUGACCACAGUGUGCCCAUCUUCUGACGGAUGCUUCCAACAGGAGAAUGAUCCAUGUCAUAAAGCUCAAAUAACUUUGAACAGGACAGUGAGGCCUGCACAGACACCAGGUCACAAUCUGUGCUGGAACAGCAACAGUCUAAUCAUUGAUGUGCAGCUGAC
Astatotilapia calliptera (eastern happy) is the source of this 1049-nucleotide long non-coding RNA. The record is from Ensembl. Lineage: Eukaryota; Metazoa; Chordata; Actinopteri; Cichliformes; Cichlidae.